ACGUACACUCCUGCGGGAGGCAGCAGUGGGGAAUAUUGCACAAUGGGCGCAAGCCUGAUGCAGCCAUGCCGCGUGUAUGAAGAAGGCCUUCGGGUUGUAAAGUACUUUCAGCGGGGAGGAAGGCAAUACGGUUAAUAACCGUGUUGAUUGACGUUACCCGCAGAAGAAGCACCGGCUAACUCCGUGCCAGCAGCCGCGGUAAUACGGAGGGUGCAAGCGUUAAUCGGAAUUACUGGGCGUAAAGCGCACGCAGGCGGUCUGUCAAGUCGGAUGUGAAAUCCCCGGGCUCAACCUGGGAACUGCAUUCGAAACUGGCAGGCUUGAGUCUUGUAGAGGGGGGUAGAAUUCCAGGUGUAGCGGUGAAAUGCGUAGAGAUCUGGAGGAAUACCGGUGGCGAAGGCGGCCCCCUGGACAAAGACUGACGCUCAGGUGCGAAAGCGUGGGGAGCAAACAGGAUUAGAUACCCGAGUAGUCCCAU
This 478-nucleotide ribosomal RNA is filed under the name uncultured organism. RNAcentral describes it as "partial 16S ribosomal RNA". It matches the Rfam family "Bacterial small subunit ribosomal RNA", at positions 329 to 798 of the family's 1533-position model. The record is from RNAcentral.